GUCGGGAAUAUUGCGCAAUGGAGGAAACUCUGACGCAGUGACGCCGCGUGCAGGAAGAAGGUUUUCGGAUUGUAAACUGCUUUAGACAGGGACGAAAUAAAUGACGGUACCUGUAGAAUAAGCUCCGGCUAACUACGUGCCAGCAGCCGCGGUAAUACGUAGGGAGCAAGCGUUAUCCGGAUUUAUUGGGUGUAAAGGGUGCGUAGACGGAAAGACAAGUUAGUUGUGAAAUACCUCGGCUUAACUGAGGAACUGCAACUAAAACUAUCUAUCUUGAGUACUGGAGGGGAAAGCGGAAUUCCUAGUGUAGCGGUGAAAUGCGUAGAUAUUAGGAAGAACACCGGUGGCGAAGGCGGCUUUCUGGACAGUAACUGACGUUGAGGCACGAAAGUGUGGGGAGCAAACAGGAUUAGAAACCCCAGUAGUCC
RNAcentral lists this ribosomal RNA (428 nucleotides) under uncultured bacterium. RNAcentral describes it as "bacterial SSU rRNA". It matches the Rfam family "Bacterial small subunit ribosomal RNA", at positions 354 to 796 of the family's 1533-position model. The record is from RNAcentral.